This 742-nucleotide ribosomal RNA is filed under the name uncultured bacterium. Its description in RNAcentral is "bacterial SSU rRNA". It matches the Rfam family "Bacterial small subunit ribosomal RNA", at positions 8 to 796 of the family's 1533-position model. The record is from RNAcentral.
AGAGUUUGAUCAUGGCUCAGAGCGAACGCUGGCGGCAGGCCUAACACAUGCAAGUCGAACGAACCCUUCGGGGUGAGUGGCGGACGGGUGAGUAACACGUGGGAACGUACCCUUUGGUUCGGAACAACACAGGGAAACUUGUGCUAAUACCGGAUGUGCCCUUCGGGGGAAAGAUUUAUCGCCAUUGGAGCGGCCCGCGUUGGAUUAGCUAGUUGGUGGGGUAAAGGCCCACCAAGGCUCCGAUCCAUAGCUGGUCUGAGAGGAUGAUCAGCCACACUGGGACUGAGACACGGCCCAGACUCCUACGGGAGGCAGCAGUGGGGAAUCUUGCGCAAUGGGCGAAAGCCUGACGCAGCCAUGCCGCGUGAAUGAUGAAGGUCUUAGGAUUGUAAAAUUCUUUCAGCAGGGACGAUAAUGACGGUACCUGCAGAAGAAGCCCCGGCUAACUUCGUGCCAGCAGCCGCGGUAAUACGAAGGGGGCUAGCGUUGCUCGGAUUUACUGGGCGUAAAGGGCGCGUAGGCGGAUCAGCAAGUUAGGGGUGAAAGCCCGGGGCUCAACCUCGGAACUGCCCUUAAAACUGUUGACCUUGAGUAUGAGAGAGGUGUGUGGAACUCCGAGUGUAGAGGUGAAAUUCGUAGAUAUUCGGAAGAACACCAGUGGCGAAGGCGACACACUGGCUCAUUACUGACGCUGAGGCGCGAAAGCGUGGGGAGCAAACAGGAUUAGAUACCCUAGUAGUCC